UAUGAUGUUAUCGUUACAGAGAAAGUUCAACUUUAACAUCCGAGAGAACAAAAUCACACUGCGGUGACUUUGCUGCAUCUCUGCCUCAGUCUCUUCGUGCUCAUUCUGAUGGCGGCCAUCAUUGUCGAACAUUUUGCAAGCGGCUCACCACUAGCAGGAGCGAAAAAGGAUCUGAGAAAACGCACUGUUCGUCUCUUCACAACAGGAGUAUGAUGUUUGAAGUGUGAAUCGAUUCACUUGCUGUUUCCAAUGUGUUUUCAGAAGAUGGGUUACAUUUCUAUGCUUUCUGUCACUCCCUGCCAAUUGGUCCAUACUCGUGUCUUCUGCAAUGCUGCUCUCUCUCUUCCACACACGUUCAGGAGACUGCGAAGCUUCACAUCCAAUCAUAAAGUGUAUAACAGGCCCUUUAGUCCGUUGAAACUGUACUGCCAAAAACUGUUAUAAAUCUACAGUAAUCCCACUUCCAGCCCAUUGCCUGAGUUUAGUAAUGUCCUUUUAGUUGAAGGACUUUAUCUGGUCAAACCUAGGUGUGACUCCAAACCCGUAGCAAUGUGCUUUUGUCUUCAUUGCUCCUCUGGGCAAUUAGGGGUGGACAACAAUUGCUGGCCCAGCCAAUGUUGCCCACAUCCCAUGACCCCAUUAAAAAUAAGACCAUGUGUGAUAUCAGGUUCCAUUGCCAUAUGAUACAUCCACGUAUGGAACUGGGUAUACAGCAGAUGUCCCACCCACCUCCAGCUUUUCAAAACCCAUCUUCAAUGCUGAUUCUCAACUUUGAAGAGCACAGCAUAGUCUGUCUCACCAAGGAACUUGCCCAGGAAUUUGUCAGCAACAGUGACUGGUCCAGAAUGUAUCGAUGUCAAAGUUUGAUGUUUGUACAUUGCUCUCACUGUCUGUCAUUGUCACAUCCCACUGCUCACUCACAGAUAAAUCCUGCCUCUUGGUUACAUUGCAUAUGUCAGUCUGUGCAAUGAAAAGGGAGCUUAAGUAAAGGGCAAUCUUCUAUUGCAAGCAUCAACGAGUGAUGGUUUGUGGUGCAGUGUUUGAAACCCUAACCUUAGAGCUCAGAGACCUGGGUUCAAUGUUCACAUUUGCUUCAAAGUAGAAAUGUACAGAACAGAAGUGGCCCUUCAACCCAUUGAGUCUGUGUCAACUGAACAACUUGUGAAUCUGCACUUGGCCCAUUUCUUUGAAUUUAUAACAUUUCAAGUUCUCAUCCAAGUAGCUUUAUAGAGCUGGGAGGUUUUCCACCUCAACUGCCUUCCCAGGCAGCACAUUCCAGACCUCCAACAGCAUCUGGGUGAUUUAUUUUCCCUCAAAAUCCUAACUAAAGUUCAUGCCCCUCACCUUGUUGUUGACGCUCGCACUAAGAGGAAUAGCUGCUUCAUAACCCCCCCCAGUCCAUGCCCCUCAUAAUCGUACAAACUUCUAUCGGGUCCCUCUUCAACUGCUC
This is a long non-coding RNA of Rhincodon typus (whale shark), 1450 nucleotides long. RefSeq lists it as uncharacterized. The record is from RefSeq and is a predicted model, not a curated record. The transcript has 3 exons. NCBI's taxonomy places the organism in Eukaryota, Metazoa, Chordata, Chondrichthyes, Orectolobiformes, Rhincodontidae.